Molecule: ribosomal RNA, 773 nt
Filed under: uncultured Streptococcus sp.
Lineage: Bacteria; Bacillati; Bacillota; Bacilli; Lactobacillales; Streptococcaceae
Description: bacterial SSU rRNA
Rfam family: Bacterial small subunit ribosomal RNA
Source: RNAcentral
GACGAACGCUGGCGGCGUGCCUAAUACAUGCAAGUAGAACGCACAGGAUGCACCGUAGUUUACUACACCGUAUUCUGUGAAUUGCGAACGGGUGAGUAACGCGUAGGUAACCUGCCUGGUAGCGGGGGAUAACUAUUGGAAACGAUAGCUAAUACCGCAUAAGAACAUUUACUGCAUGGUAGAUGUUUAAAAGGUGCAAAAGCAUCACUACCAGAUGGACCUGCGUUGUAUUAGCUAGUUGGUGAGGUAACGGCUCACCAAGGCAACGAUACAUAGCCGACCUGAGAGGGUGAUCGGCCACACUGGGACUGAGACACGGCCCAGACUCCUACGGGAGGCAGCAGUAGGGAAUCUUCGGCAAUGGGGGGAACCCUGACCGAGCAACGCCGCGUGAGUGAAGAAGGUUUUCGGAUCGUAAAGCUCUGUUGUUAAGGAAGAACGUGUGUGAGAGUGGAAAGUUCACACAGUGACGGUACUUAACCAGAAAGGGACGGCUAACUACGUGCCAGCAGCCGCGGUAAUACGUAGGUCCCGAGCGUUGUCCGGAUUUAUUGGGCGUAAAGCGAGCGCAGGCGGUUAGAUAAGUCUGAAGUGAAAGGCAGUGGCUCAACCAUUGUAGGCUUUGGAAACUGUUUAACUUGAGUGCAGAAGGGGAGAGUGGAAUUCCAUGUGUAGCGGUGAAAUGCGUAGAUAUAUGGAGGAACACCGGUGGCGAAAGCGGCUCUCUGGUCUGUAACUGACGCUGAGGCUCGAAAGCGUGGGGAGCGAACAGG